CGCGUAGGCGGACUGGAAAGUUGGGGUGAAAUCCCAGGGCUCAACCCUGGAACUGCCUCCAAAACUAUCAGUCUUGAGUACUGGAGAGGUGAGUGGAAUUCCGAGUGUAGAGGUGAAAUUCGUAGAUAUUCGGAGGAACACCAGUGGCGAAGGCGGCUCACUGGCCAGAUACUGACGCUGAGGUGCGAAAGCGUGGGGAGCAAACA
This 206-nucleotide ribosomal RNA is filed under the name uncultured bacterium. RNAcentral's name for it is "partial 16S ribosomal RNA". It matches the Rfam family "Bacterial small subunit ribosomal RNA", at positions 568 to 774 of the family's 1533-position model. The record is from RNAcentral.